Non-coding RNA from Phrynosoma platyrhinos (Desert horned lizard), 69 nucleotides. NCBI's taxonomy places the organism in Eukaryota, Metazoa, Chordata, Lepidosauria, Squamata, Phrynosomatidae. The record is from the annotation of a GenBank genome assembly.
GGCAUAGUGUUCUGGUUUGAGUGUUGGACUACGACUCUGGAGACCAGGGUUCGAAUCCUUGCUCAGCCA